Pieris rapae (cabbage white) is the source of this 553-nucleotide long non-coding RNA. RefSeq lists it as uncharacterized. The record is from RefSeq and is a predicted model, not a curated record. The transcript has 2 exons. Lineage: Eukaryota; Metazoa; Arthropoda; Insecta; Lepidoptera; Pieridae.
AUGCAUCUCGUGUCUGUAUGAAAAGUGUUAAUGUUUUUGAUGGUUAUAAACCCUUUAUAAUAUAGGGGUUUAAUGUUAUAAUUGCGUAAAAGGUCUAUGAAGUGUUGUGUCGUUUUAGCGCGAAUAUUGCGCGCCAAAACAUUUUUCAAAUUGACAUUGACAUUAACAAUUAAUGCUUCUAAAUCUAUCGAAGCUAAUGCACAAACAGUGUUAGAGCCAAAAAAAAACUAUGCAAUGUCUAUUAACAAUAAUACUAAUGUGAAUUUCAACAAUCAAAACUCGCCACUAUAUAAAGGUUUAUAACGUUUUUAUAUGUCCUUUAGCAUUAAAAUCGAGCUUGGAAAAAAACAUGUUUAAAGGGGCAAGGUAGAUUGGGAGAUGUAUUGGAUUUGUUGAAAUUAGAAACUUUGCUGAUACUAGAAUCUCAUUUGGCGUAUGGACUCAGGUAACCUGUUUAAUUUUAAGUUGUCAUUUAAGGUAUUUUUACAAAGAAUUCGCUAGUCGUGACCACAAACCUGUCUCUUGAAGACUGAAUAAAUAUUUCUUUACGGCG